Molecule: ribosomal RNA, 462 nt
Filed under: uncultured bacterium
Lineage: Bacteria
Description: partial 16S ribosomal RNA
Rfam family: Bacterial small subunit ribosomal RNA
Source: RNAcentral
CCUACGGGGGGCAGCAGUGAGGAAUAUUGGUCAAUGGACGAGAGUCUGAACCAGCCAAGUAGCGUGAAGGAUGACUGCCCUCUGGGUUGUAAACCUCUUUUGUCAGGGAGCAACGCCGGCUACGUGUAGCCGGACUGAGAGUACCUGAAGAAAAAGCAUCGGCUAACUCCGUGCCAGCAGCCGCGGUAAUACGGAGGAUGCGAGCGUUAUCCGGGUUUAUUGGGUUUAAAGGGUGCGUAGGCUGGGAGGUAAGUCAGCGGGGAAAUGCCCCCGCUCAACGGGGUGAAGUGCCAUUGAUACUGCCUUGCUGGAAUGCGGAUGCCGUAGGAGGAAUGUGUGGUGUAGCGGUGAAAUGCAUAGAUAUCACACAGAACAACGAUUGCGAAGGCAUCUCACGAAUCCGCGAUUGACGCUGAUGCACGAAAGUGUGGGUAGCAAACAGGAUUAGAUACCCGUGUAGUC